Molecule: long non-coding RNA, 1487 nt
Organism: Anas platyrhynchos (mallard)
Lineage: Eukaryota; Metazoa; Chordata; Aves; Anseriformes; Anatidae
Source: RefSeq, a predicted model, not a curated record
GAAGGGACAGAUGGAAGGCAUCUUGAAGAGGGGGACCAAAACUGUUAUGCCUGAUGGAAAAAAAGGCUUGUGGAAUUAUCCAAAUGGAUGUUCAAUGACAUACCAAAAUCCUUGGUAGGUCAGUAAGCUCACAGUUUCAGGAUGCAUGGAUGGUUGCCAAGACCUGGAUGGAUGGAUGAAGGGGGAGCCAUGCUGCUCUAUUUAAUAAUGCCAUCAUCAGGAAACACCUUAUUAUACCCCAGCUGACUGCUGCGAGCCACCCUAAUGUAAUUUGGCUGGAACCUAGUAGCUCGCUUUCCUUUGAACCGGGCAUGCUCUGAAGGAAGGGACCGGCGCCCUGGAUGGAUCAAAGCAGGGCCUUCAUGUCACUGGAUCAUUUCAGCUUGUGCCCAGAGUUAAUGAAAGGAAGGAAAAUAUAAACAAAAUCAGCCCGCUGGGCCCGAGAGGUGCUAACUGCCAAGACCUGCUUUUGCAAAGCCCACUUUGAUGCACUGCCUGAGCAUUCGCAUAUCCCGAAAUCAACCCAAAACUCGUGAUGCAAAAAGGGCUGUAGAAAUUGUCAGGAAACGGGAGGAAGAAAAAGACAUAAAAUUUGAAGCUGUGUUUCUAUCACUGCAGCAUUCACAUUUUAUCUGCCCUGGAAGAUGCAAGCUCUUAGUGAAUAACCUGGUUUUCCUUGCCAGGGUGGCUGAAAUUGUUCUUCCUCCUUUCCUGAAUCUGAACUGCUCUCAGGUAUAAUCAAGACAGACAGAUUCUUGUUCAGUCAAUGGCAACGUCUAGCUCCUUGCUCACCCACAGGUCAAGUCUGCAUGCAUCUGAGACUAAAAAACAAGCCAGCAGCUCGCCUCUCCUCCAGCAGAAGGCUGCUCCUUAACCCCUGCCUCUCACACAAACCAAAUGUCUUUCUUGUUUUCCCAUACCAUUAUUUGUUUCUGGGACAGAGUGCAGCCUUGUACUAGGACUCCAGAAGAUGCUACACGCACUGCCAGGGCUGUGUGCCCCCUCCACAUCCACCAACCCUUUUUAUGUGCUCUGCACGAUGAGGACACUGGGACAUCAGUCGGGACAGGACCACGCUUACACCAUGGUCUGAGGCUCAGUUCAACAUUUUCCUGUUAUGCUCACGCAAGUAUAUACACCAGCACCCCUUGCCACUACCCGAAGGCUCUGUACUCAAUAAAUACCACCACUCUACAACACUCCCUCUCUCUCUCCACAAAAGCACAGGCAUGCAUAUUCAGCCUGGGUCUCAGCUGAUUAGACAAAAUUAAAGCUAUGAACAUUAAAUUCCCUUUCAUCCCUGCAAGAAAACUGAAGAGGAUAUGAAAAUAAGAGUUGCCAAUAUCAGGAAAAAAAAAAAAAAAAAAGGCUCUACAUAAUUCAGUAUACUGCCUCUGGCUCUUCAUCAAAUCGCUUGGGAAAAAGAUCCUUUUCACCUAAUGGCUUACAGAAUUUGUUAACAAUAAAACAUUAAGCUUGCAGAACAA